Long non-coding RNA from Dromaius novaehollandiae (emu), 905 nucleotides. RefSeq lists it as uncharacterized. The transcript is spliced from 3 exons. NCBI's taxonomy places the organism in Eukaryota, Metazoa, Chordata, Aves, Casuariiformes, Dromaiidae. The record is from RefSeq and is a predicted model, not a curated record.
CAGCAUGGAGAUCACUGCUGCCCUGGGAAGAUCAGGCAGAAAGUCAGAUGAAAGAUAAACUUCCUACAGAAUCCAGACCAGAAGAAUUCUAUGCCAUUGAGCAAGUAAUACACAGUUGAAGAUAAUCUGCUGUCUGAAAUGAGAUUCAGGAAUGUUAAAGCCGAAUGAACAAAUCAGCACUCAACCUCCUACCUGAACUAAGGAGGAUGAAUUUCCUGAGCUGCUCAUGACAUUGACGUGACUGCCUGAAAGCUCUCAUACUGAAAGGGUGAACAAAUUCUAAGUGUGAUUAGCUUAUUUCAUUCACAGGAAUCAGUGUCAAACUUGUGAAAUUAAAUUAUCGACAGCAAUACUUUAUAGAAAGGUCUCAUCAUUUAUGUUCUUCAAAAGCUGGGAUGGAAUGGAUUUAAAAUGCUGUAAACUAGUGGAUUACAUACAAAGCUGGAGCCAGUAGAGGAGCUGGGUUUUCAGGCAUGGACCCUACAGUGAAAUCCAAAGCACAGAUGCUGCUAUCUGAACUCUGCAUUGUACACAGGGACACACAGAUGUCCUGAAAUGGUGGGUCAAUAGUAAAGACGGGAGGGUCAGCACAUGUGACUCUACUCAGACAAAGACUGCCUUGAUGCAAGCAAGUAUCCCAAGUCUGUCAACUUCACCUGGACUCUUCUUCAGUGCUCUGCCUCAAGCCUGUGUGUGAAAAAAAGUAACGGUUAUUCGACAGGGCAAGAUCAGGCUUCUAAUUACAAGAUUGGAAGCUACAAAAGAUUGAAAUGCUGUGGUAACACCAGCCUCAUUUGGGUCUAACAGCUAGAUUGAGACAUAUCCCAGACAUUACUCCAGAGAUCUGACCUGUGUGACAAGCUUUUGACUUCUACAGGCUUCACACAGAGCCAAACAUAAUGCCA